GACGAACGCUGGCGGCGUGCCUAAUACAUGCAAGUUGAGCGCUGAAGGUUGGUACUUGUACCAACUGGAUGAGCAGCGAACGGGUGAGUAACGCGUGGGGAAUCUGCCUUUGAGCGGGGGACAACAUUUGGAAACGAAUGCUAAUACCGCAUAAAAACUUUAAACACAAGUUUUAAGUUUGAAAGAUGCAAUUGCAUCACUCAAAGAUGAUCCCGCGUUGUAUUAGCUAGUUGGUGAGGUAAAGGCUCACCAAGGCGAUGAUACAUAGCCGACCUGAGAGGGUGAUCGGCCACCUUGGGACUGAGACACGGCCCCAACUCCUACGGGAGGCAGCAGUAGGGAAUCUUCGGCAAUGGACGAAAGUCUGACCGAGCAACGCCGCGUGAGUGAAGAAGGUUUUCGGAUCGUAAAACUCUGUUGGUAGAGAAGAACGUUGGUGAGAGUGGAAAGCUCAUCAAGUGACGGUAACUACCCAGAAAGGGACGGCUAACUACGUG
This 497-nucleotide ribosomal RNA is filed under the name uncultured bacterium. Its description in RNAcentral is "partial 16S ribosomal RNA". It matches the Rfam family "Bacterial small subunit ribosomal RNA", at positions 28 to 507 of the family's 1533-position model. The record is from RNAcentral.